Molecule: ribosomal RNA, 684 nt
Filed under: uncultured Rhodocyclaceae bacterium
Lineage: Bacteria; Pseudomonadati; Pseudomonadota; Betaproteobacteria; Rhodocyclales; Rhodocyclaceae
Description: bacterial SSU rRNA
Rfam family: Bacterial small subunit ribosomal RNA
Source: RNAcentral
UAGAGUUUGAUCAUGGCUCAGAUUGAACGCUGGCGGCAUGCCUUACGCAUGCAAGUCGAACGGCAGCGGACCUUCGGGUGCCGGCGAGUGGCGAACGGGUGAGUAAAGUAUCGGAACGUACCUUUCAGUGGGGGAUAACGUAGCGAAAGUUACGCUAAUACCGCAUAUUCUGUGAGCAGGAAAGCAGGGGAUCGCAAGACCUUGCGCUGAUUGAGCGGCCGAUAUCAGAUUAGCUAGUUGGUGGGGUAAAGGCCUACCAAGGCGACGAUCUGUAGCGGGUCUGAGAGGAUGAUCCGCCACACUGGGACUGAGACACGGCCCAGACUCCUACGGGAGGCAGCAGUGGGGAAUUUUGGACAAUGGGCGCAAGCCUGAUCCAGCCAUGCCGCGUGAGUGAAGAAGGCCUUCGGGUUGUAAAGCUCUUUCGGCCGGGAAGAAAUCGCAUGGGCUAAUACCCUGUGUGGAUGACGGUACCGGAAUAAGAAGCACCGGCUAACUACGUGCAGCAGCCGCGGUAAUACGUAGGGUGCGAGCGUUAAUCGGAAUUACUGGGCGUAAAGCGUGCGCAGGCGGUUUUUUAAGAUAGGCGUGAAAUCCCCGGGCUCAACCUGGGAACUGCGCUUAUGACUGGAAGACUAGAGUAUGGCAGAGGGGGGUGGAAUUCCACGUGUAGCAGUGAAAUGC